GGAUAUAAUCUAAAUGGCCGCGGAAUUUUAACUGUGCUAAGGUAGCAUAAUCACUUGUUUUUUAAUUGAGGACUUGUAUGAACGGAUUAACGGAAUUAAGCUGUUUCUUUUAUAAUGCAUAAAAAUUAUUUUUAAAGUUAAAAAACUUUAAUAAUUUAAAAAGACAAAAAGACCCUAUAGAGUUUUAUUCUUUAGUAUAUAAAAUGCAUAAAGAAUUUAGUUGGGGCAACUAAGGAAAAUUAUAAUUUCCUUUUAGGUAUUUCAUACAAUUAUAGCAUUUAAUAAAUAAAUUAAAAUAAAUUACCUUAGGGGUAACAGUGUAAAUUUUCUUUGAGAGUCCAAAUCGAAAAGAAAAAUUAC
RNAcentral lists this ribosomal RNA (360 nucleotides) under Dondersiidae sp. 1 FSB-2019. RNAcentral describes it as "partial large subunit ribosomal RNA". Lineage: Eukaryota; Metazoa; Mollusca; Solenogastres; Pholidoskepia; Dondersiidae. The record is from RNAcentral.